RNAcentral lists this ribosomal RNA (931 nucleotides) under Paroxyonyx audisioi. RNAcentral describes it as "eukaryotic LSU rRNA". It matches the Rfam family "Eukaryotic large subunit ribosomal RNA", at positions 144 to 828 of the family's 3401-position model. The record is from RNAcentral. Lineage: Eukaryota; Metazoa; Arthropoda; Insecta; Coleoptera; Curculionidae.
UGUGGUGUUCGGGAGGGUCCGUUAUCCCGAGAUCAUGCGGCGCGUCCAAGUCCUUCUUGAACGGGGCCACAGCCCAUAGAGGGUGCCAGGCCCGUAGCGACCGCUGCUGAUCGCGGGAGGAUCUCUCCUUAGAGUCGGGUUGCUUGAGAGUGCAGCCCUAAGUGGGUGGUAAACUCCAUCUAAGGCUAAAUAUGACCACGAGACCGAUAGCGAACAAGUACCGUGAGGGAAAGUUGAAAAGCACUUUGAAGAGAGAGUUCAAGAGUACGUGAAACCGUUUAGGGGUAAACCUGAGAAACCCGAAAGGUCGAAGGGAGAAAUUCAUCGCGUUUCGACGCAGGCGUCGGGCGGUCGUGUGACGGGAAGCGUUCGCGCGUUUCCCGCGCCCUCCGUCCGUACGAACCGGCGGCGAACGCGUGCACUUUUCUCCUGGUAGGACGUCGCGAUCCGUUGGGCGUCGGUCUACGGCUAGCGGUGGAGCCCGUUCGUGCCACGUGCGCGAGCGGACCCGCUUCGCCCGGCUGACUCGCUCGACGGUAUACGAAAGAUUUAAGGCCGCUCUUCAGGAGCGUUCGACUCGCGGCAAGCGCGUCAGUUGCGUCGGACGUCGGACCUAGUGCCGAUUCUGACCUCUGGCGACUGUUGGCCGCGAUMGUCUCGGACAGACCUUAGGAUCGAUCGGCGACGCUAUAGCUUUGGGUACUUUCAGGACCCGUCUUGAAACACGGACCAAGGAGUCUAGCAUGUGCGCGAGUCAUUGGGAAUCACUAAACCUAAAGGCGCAAUGAAAGUAAAGGUCUUCCUCGCGGAGACUGAGGGAGGACGGGCGGUUUACCCUUAAAAGUGGCCGUUCAGCACUCCCGGGGCGUCUCGUUCUCAUUGCGAGAAGAGGCGCACCAUGAGCGUACACGCUGGGACCCGAAAGAUGGUG